RNAcentral lists this transfer RNA (74 nucleotides) under Myxococcales bacterium. Its description in RNAcentral is "tRNA-Arg". It matches the Rfam family "tRNA". Rfam says of the family: Transfer RNA (tRNA) molecules are approximately 80 nucleotides in length. Their secondary structure includes four short double-helical elements and three loops (D, anti-codon, and T loops). The record is from RNAcentral. Lineage: Bacteria; Pseudomonadati; Myxococcota; Myxococcia; Myxococcales.
GCGCCCGUAGCUCAGCUGGAUAGAGCGUCGGACUUCGGAUCCGAAUGUCGGGGGUUCGAAUCCCUCCGGGCGUG